CACGUAGGGCGUAAGCGUUGUCCGGAAUUAUUGGGCGUAAAGAGCUCGUAGGUGGUUUGUUACGUCUGCUGUGAAAACCUAGGGCUUAACCCUGGGCUUGCAGUGGAUACGGGCAGACUAGAGGUAGGUAGGGGAGAAUGGAAUUCCUGGUGUAGCGGUGAAAUGCGCAGAUAUCAGGAGGAACACCGGUGGCGAAGGCGGUUCUCUGGGCCUUACCUGACGCUGAGGAGCGAAAGCGUGGGGAGCGAACAGG
Molecule: ribosomal RNA, 253 nt
Filed under: uncultured bacterium
Lineage: Bacteria
Description: partial 16S ribosomal RNA
Rfam family: Bacterial small subunit ribosomal RNA
Source: RNAcentral